RNAcentral lists this ribosomal RNA (253 nucleotides) under uncultured bacterium. Its description in RNAcentral is "partial 16S ribosomal RNA". It matches the Rfam family "Bacterial small subunit ribosomal RNA", at positions 524 to 776 of the family's 1533-position model. The record is from RNAcentral.
UACGGAGGGUGCAAGCGUUAUCCGGAAUUAUUGGGUUUAAAGGGUCCGUAGGCGGGCCGGUAAGUCAGUGGUGAAAGUCUGCAGCUCAACUGUAGAACUGCCUUUGAUACUGCUGGUCUUGAGUUAUGGUGAAGUUGCCGGAAUAUGUAGUGUAGCGGUGAAAUGCAUAGAUAUUACAUAGAACACCGAUUGCGAAGGCAGGUGACUAACCAUAUACUGACGCUGAUGGACGAAAGCGUGGGGAGCGAACAGG